RNAcentral lists this ribosomal RNA (200 nucleotides) under uncultured bacterium. RNAcentral's name for it is "partial 16S ribosomal RNA". It matches the Rfam family "Bacterial small subunit ribosomal RNA", at positions 29 to 258 of the family's 1533-position model. The record is from RNAcentral.
AACGAACGCUGGCGGCAGGCUUAACACAUGCAAGUCGAACGCCCGCAAGGGGAGUGGCAGACGGGUGAGUAACGCGUGGGAAUCUACCUAGUUCUGCGGAACAACAGUUGGAAACCGACUGCUAAUACCGCAUACGCCCUACGGGGGAAAGAUUUAUCGGAAUUAGAUGAGCCCGCGUAAGAUUAGCUAGUUGGUGGGGU